CCCUUAGAUGUUCUGGGCCGCACGCGCACUACACUGACGAAGUCAGCGAGCAUGUCCUACGCCGACAGGUGCGGGGAAUCUUGUCAAACUUCGUCGUGAUGGGGAUUGAUUUUUGAAAUUCUUGAUCAUAAACGAGGAAUUCCUAGUAAGCGCAAGUCAGCAGCUUGCGUUGAUUACGUCCCUGCCCUUUGUACACACCGCCCGUCGCUACUACCGAUUGAAUGGUUUAGUGAGAUCUUCGGAUUGGCGCCACUGCAGCUCAGCAAUGGGCUUGGUGGAUGCCGAAAAGUUGAUCAAACUUGAUCAUUUAGAGGAAGUAAAAGUCGUAACA
Molecule: ribosomal RNA, 331 nt
Filed under: uncultured eukaryote
Lineage: Eukaryota
Description: partial 18S ribosomal RNA
Rfam family: Eukaryotic small subunit ribosomal RNA
Source: RNAcentral